Molecule: ribosomal RNA, 686 nt
Filed under: uncultured bacterium
Lineage: Bacteria
Description: bacterial SSU rRNA
Rfam family: Bacterial small subunit ribosomal RNA
Source: RNAcentral
GAAAAAGUUGGUGGUGAAAUCCCAGAGCUUAACUCUGGAACUGCCAUCAAAACUUUUCAGCUAGAGUUUGAUAGAGGAAAGCAGAAUUUCUAGUGUAGAGGUGAAAUUCGUAGAUAUUAGAAAGAAUACCAAUUGCGAAGGCAGCUUUCUGGAUCAUUACUGACACUGAGGAACGAAAGCAUGGGUAGCGAAGAGGAUUAGAUACCCUCGUAGUCCAUGCCGUAAACGAUGUGUGUUAGACGUUGGAAAUUUAUUUUCAGUGUCGCAGCGAAAGCGAUAAACACACCGCCUGGGGAGUACGACCGCAAGGUUAAAACUCAAAUGAAUUGACGGGGACCCGCACAAGUAGUGGAGCAUGUGGUUUAAUUCGAAGAUACGCGCAGAACCUUACCAACACUUGACAUGUUCGUCGCGACUUUAAGAGAUUAAAGUUUUCGGUUCGGCCGGACGAAACACAGGUGCUGCAUGGCUGUCGUCAGCUCGUGUCGUGAGAUGUUGGGUUAAGUCCCGCAACGAGCGCAACCCUCACUUUUAGUUGCCAUCAUUAAGUUGGGCACUCUGAAAGAACUGCCAGUGAUAAGCUGGAGGAAGGUGGGGAUGACGUCAAGUCCUCAUGGCCCUUACGUGUUGGGCUACACACGUGCUACAAUGGUAUCUACAACAGGAAGCAAAACAGCGAUGUUAAG